RNAcentral lists this ribosomal RNA (389 nucleotides) under uncultured bacterium. RNAcentral's name for it is "bacterial SSU rRNA". It matches the Rfam family "Bacterial small subunit ribosomal RNA", at positions 30 to 414 of the family's 1533-position model. The record is from RNAcentral.
AGCGAACGUUUGCGGCGGGCUUAACACAUGCAAGUCGAACGGGCUGUUCCUUCGGGGGCAGUCAGUGGCGCACGGGUGCGUAACACGUAGGUAAUCAACCCUCUGGUUGGGGAUAACACUUCGAAAGGAGUGCUAAUACCCGGUAUGGCGCAGCGGUCUUCGGAUCGCGGCGAGAAAGACCCGCAAGGGUUGCCAGAGGACGAGCCUGCGGCCCAUCAGCUAGUUGGCGAGGUAACGGCUCACCAAGGCGAAGACGGGUAGCCGGUCUGAGAGGAUGAUCAGCCACACUGGAACUGAGACACGGUCCAGACUCCUACGGGAGGCAGCAGUGGGGAAUAUUGCGCAAUGGGCGAAAGCCUGACGCAGCCACGCCGCGUGAGCGAUGAAGG